This 261-nucleotide ribosomal RNA is filed under the name uncultured archaeon. RNAcentral describes it as "partial 16S ribosomal RNA". It matches the Rfam family "Archaeal small subunit ribosomal RNA", at positions 748 to 1008 of the family's 1478-position model. The record is from RNAcentral.
CAGCCGUAAACUAUGCGCGUUAGGUGUAUCGGUGACCACGAGUCACCGAGGUGCCGAAGGGAAACCGUGAAACGUGCCGCCUGGGAAGUACGGUCGCAAGGCUGAAACUUAAAGGAAUUGGCGGGGGAGCACCACAACAGGUGGAGCCUGCGGUUUAAUUGGACUCAACGCCGGGAAGCUCACCGGAUAGGACAGCAGAAUGAUUGCCGGGCUGAAGGCUCUGCUUGACUAGCUGAGAGGAGGUGCAUGGCGUGUGACUGU